Molecule: unclassified non-coding RNA, 226 nt
Filed under: uncultured fungus
Lineage: Eukaryota; Fungi
Description: sequence contains ITS1, 5.8S rRNA gene
Rfam family: 5.8S ribosomal RNA (bases 178-226)
Source: RNAcentral
UCUCCGUAGGUGAACCUGCGGAGGGAUCAUUACCGAGUGAGGGCUCACGCCCGACCUCCAACCCUUUGUGAACACAUCUUGUUGCUUCGGGGGCGACCCUGCCGUUUCGACGGCGAGCGCCCCCGGAGGCCUUCAAACACUGCAUCUUUGCGUCGGAGUAUUAGUAAAUCUAAUCAAAACUUUCAACAACGGAUCUCUUGGUUCUGGCAUCGAUGAAGAACGCAGC